RNAcentral lists this ribosomal RNA (496 nucleotides) under uncultured bacterium. RNAcentral's name for it is "partial 16S ribosomal RNA". It matches the Rfam family "Bacterial small subunit ribosomal RNA", at positions 29 to 507 of the family's 1533-position model. The record is from RNAcentral.
AUGCACGCUGGCGGCGUGCCUCAUACAUGCAAGUCGAGCGAACAGACGAGGAGCUUGCUCCUCUGACGUUAGCGGCGGACGGGUGAGUAACACGUGGAUAACCUACCUAUAAGACUGGGAUAACUUCGGGAAACCGGAGCUAAUACCGGAUAAUAUAUUGCACCGCAUGGUUCAAUAGUGAAAGACGGUUUUGCUGUCACUUAUAGAUGGAUCCGCGCCGCAUUAGCUAGUUGGUAAGGUAACGGCUUACCAAGGCAACGAUGCGUAGCCGACCUGAGAGGGUGAUCGGCCACACUGGAACUGAGACACGGUCCAGACUCCUACGGGAGGCAGCAGUAGGGAAUCUUCCGCAAUGGGCGAAAGCCUGACGGAGCAACGCCGCGUGAGUGAUGAAGGUCUUCGGAUCGUAAAACUCUGUUAUUAGGGAAGAACAAAUGUGUAAGUAACUAUGCACGUCUUGACGGUACCUAAUCAGAAAGCCACGGCUAACUACGUG